This 497-nucleotide ribosomal RNA is filed under the name uncultured bacterium. RNAcentral describes it as "partial 16S ribosomal RNA". It matches the Rfam family "Bacterial small subunit ribosomal RNA", at positions 28 to 507 of the family's 1533-position model. The record is from RNAcentral.
GAUGAACGCUGGCGGCGUGCCUAACACAUGCAAGUCGAGCGAACAGACGAGGAGCUUGCUCCUCUGACGUUAGCGGCGGACGGGUGAGUAACACGUGGAUAACCUACCUAUAAUACUGGGAUAACUUCGGGAAACCGGAGCUAAUACCGGAUAAUAUAUUGAACCGCAUGGUUCAAUAGUGAAAGUCGGUUUUGCUGUCACUUAUAGACGGAUCCGCGCCGCAUUAGCUAGUUGGUAAGGUAACGGCUUACCAAGGCAACGAUGCGUAGCCGACCUGAGAGGGGGGUCGGCCACACGGGAGCUGGGACACGGUCCAGGCUCCUACGGGAGGCAGCAGAAGGGAACCUUCCGCAAUGGGCGAAAGCAUGACGGAGCAGCGCCGCGUGAGUGAUGAAGGUCUUCGGAUCGUAAAACUCUGUUAUUAGGGAAAAACAAAUGUGUAAGUAACUAUGCACGUCUUGACGGUACCUGAUCAGAAAGCCACGGCUAACUACGUG